This 201-nucleotide unclassified non-coding RNA is filed under the name plant metagenome. RNAcentral's name for it is "partial contains small subunit ribosomal RNA, internal transcribed spacer 1, and 5.8S ribosomal RNA". The record is from RNAcentral.
UCUCCGUUGGUGAACCAGCGGAGGGAUCAUUAUCGAGUUUAUAACUCCCAAACCCUAUGUGAACUUACCACUUGUUGCUUCGGCGCGCGCUUCGGUGCCGCCGCGGACACUUAAACUCUUUGUUUUUAUAAGCAUUUCUGAGUGGCCGAAAGGCAAAAUACAAAUGAAUCAAAACUUUCAACAACGGAUCUCUUGGUUCUG